Molecule: unclassified non-coding RNA, 1975 nt
Filed under: Hevea brasiliensis (rubber tree)
Lineage: Eukaryota; Viridiplantae; Streptophyta; Magnoliopsida; Malpighiales; Euphorbiaceae
Source: RNAcentral
GGGAGCAGCAGCAGCCGAGCUCGCGAGUUGUGAUUUCUAGCGGAGAAGAAGAGACCUCCGACAAGCAAAAGCUAAACGCAGAGUAUAAUUUUUAUUUAUUUAAUAAUUAACGACCCAAAAAGAAAAUGGAAACCAUUGUUUCAAAUUUUCAUUCGGUGGUCAUAAAUUCUUUAAUUUCCAAAAAGGCCCCACCAUAUAUACCUAUAUUUCCCAUUCGCCAGCUACGCAUCAUCUCGCCCUGCUCUCGGAGUCGGACUUCCAUCUCCUUAACACUGAGGAUGGCUCACUCCGCCCAAAGUCCAGUUCCUCAGCAGGAGAAAGUUAUCAUACCAAACAAACAUGGUGAAAAACUUGUGGGCUUAUUACAUGAUACUGGAUCUAAGGAGAUUGUUGUCUUAUGCCAUGGUUUUCGUUCCACUAAGGAAAAUGAAACCAUGGUGAACCUUGCUGUUGCAUUAGAAAAUGAAGGAAUCAGUGCUUUCCGUUUUGACUUUGCUGGAAAUGGAGAAAGUGAAGGUUCAUUUGCAUAUGGUAAUUAUUGGAGAGAGGUUGAUGAUUUGCGUGCCGUGGUUGAACACUUCUCUGGAGCAAACCGUGCUGUAAGUGUGAUUCUUGGGCAUAGCAAAGGUGUGUAUGACCAAUCUAGACAUACAAGACAUAACAUGUUGCAGUAAUUAUGAAGUCUGAAGAAUUUAUACAGCAAAAUUUGAGGUGUAAUCCUGCGAAUUUUAUUAAUGAAAACAGGUUCCAGACUAUAUGCUAAUUUCAGAUUGAUGUUUUAGGUUGUGGGCAGGAUUUUUUUAUGUAGGAUUUAAUUGCUAUUUUUAGAUUGGCAAAUGGGUGGGUAAAACCAAAAUUGCUAGUUGUUAGUGAGGUGGAUGGGAAUAGGACUAUAGCUUUGCCAGUUAGGUAUAUAUAUAUAUCCAAACUUCAUACUGUGCAUUUUUCGUUUGGCCAUCGCUAUUUCUUGUGCUUUUGUCUUUCUUGUGGAAUUUAUGACAAUAUAAUUCAACUGUACUGCUUCUAGUCAUUAGCUUAGUCUUGUUUUACAUUCCUGUCUUGCAUGUCCAGUUUGAAAUGCCUGCCUGCUAUGUUAGUUUUAAGUUGCUUGAUAUUUGUUUCCCUCUUGUAAGUUAUUGCUAUUGUAACCACAGGGGGCAAUUUGGUGCUCCUAUAUGCUUCAAAAUAUAGCGAUAUCAGUUCGGUAGUCAAUGUUUCUGGUCGUUAUGAUCUGAAUAGAGGCAUUGAGGAACGGCUUGGGAAAGACUUUAUGGAAAAGAUCAAGCAAGAAGGAUUCUUUGAUGUUAAGAACAAAACAGGAAGUGUUAACUAUCGUGUGACUCUAGAAAGUUUGAUGGAUCGCCUGAAUACAAAUAUGCGCAAAGCUUGCCUUCUGAUUGAUAAAGACUGCAGGGUGUUCACUGUUCAUGGAUCUGCUGAUGAAAUCAUUCCCGUGGAAGACGCAUUAGAGUUUGCCAAGAUCAUAUCUAAUCACAAGUUACACAUCAUAGAAGGAGCUAAUCAUUCAUACACUUCACACCAAGCUGAGUUAUCCUCUGCUGUUUUGAACUUCAUAAAGGAAACCUUACAGCAGGACAAGGGCACCCCUAACUAGGCGGUUAUAGUUUUCAAGAGAAGAGCAAGCUGUGCAGCCAGUGGCGUUAUGAUGUAGUAGUUCAUGGUGGAAACUUCCCUACAAUUUAUUGAGAGGUGUUUUAACAACGUAUUUUAUGAUAUCAUUAUACCCUUGUGUUGUAGCACAUGGUAGAACCUAUUCUUCACUGAGAAGGGUGGAUUGGUAACUUGAUAUGGGUACAAUAAAUUUCUGCCAAAGAUCAUUCGAGUGUCAUGAAAACUUCAAUCUGUCCAAGGUCAACAUGUUUUUAGAACACUGUUGUACUGAGAACUGAAUUCAACUUGGAUAUAUCAUUUGUUUCUCCUUUAUUUUUACCAAGAAAAUAUUUUUUAUACAUAA